CGGUCGGAGUUAGCUCAAGCGGUAUCUCCUCAUACCGGACUUUCUAUCUGUCUAUCUCUGCGCUGGGGUUCAAGGCCCGUGGGUGCUUACUGACCUUUCC
Vault RNA from Callithrix jacchus (white-tufted-ear marmoset), 100 nucleotides. Its record names the gene Vault. It matches the Rfam family "Vault RNA". Rfam says of the family: This family of RNAs are found as part of the enigmatic vault ribonucleoprotein complex. The complex consists of a major vault protein (MVP), two minor vault proteins (VPARP and TEP1), and several small untranslated RNA molecules. It has been suggested that the vault complex is involved in drug resistance. The record is from Ensembl. NCBI's taxonomy places the organism in Eukaryota, Metazoa, Chordata, Mammalia, Primates, Cebidae.